GCAAUGCCUGGCUUUUUUUGUGUCCAAAUACCAUUGCCUCCAUCUUGUGUAAGCCCGGUGGUCCUACUUUAGUUCUUAUUUCUGUUGAAAUGUCAUGAAAUCCAAGACCUUGGAUUCAGGCAUCUCAGGCUGAGACCUACUUCAACCUGUAUUUUCCGUGCAUUGACUCCAGAACCGCCCACCUCAGCACUUUUCAACAGGAUCCACACCUUCUAUUGAUAACAUUUAUCUUGCUGUGUUUCUACAUCCAACUUCUCAUCUAGCUUAGAAGUAAGAAGACCCUUUAUUACAGUUAUGCCUUAAAGAGGUACUUGUGUAGCUACUGACAUCUGGGUCCUGGG
Molecule: long non-coding RNA, 341 nt
Filed under: Bos taurus (domestic cattle)
Lineage: Eukaryota; Metazoa; Chordata; Mammalia; Artiodactyla; Bovidae
Description: long non-coding RNA NONBTAT016311
Source: RNAcentral